Molecule: long non-coding RNA, 441 nt
Organism: Aegilops tauschii subsp. strangulata
Lineage: Eukaryota; Viridiplantae; Streptophyta; Magnoliopsida; Poales; Poaceae
Source: RefSeq, a predicted model, not a curated record
AGCAACCAACAACACAAAAAUGAAAAGGAAUAGCUAACUAUCUCCCGUGCCACAUAUGAGGAACUACACAUGGGCCCUAGGCUUUGUAGCUCUUGUAGCCAUAGCCACCACUUUGGUCUCAGGCCAUGCAACCAGGAGUUACAUAGGUGCAACUGACAUGUGUGCAGCUGGAGCUGACGACCACUGUUCGCCACCAGAACGAGCUACUGGUAACAUUCUGUGCAAGGCUUGCUGCGCUGCCCAAGGUUAUGACAGGGAUAAGAGCAGUUGUUGUCCAGGCAGAAGUAGCUCCUGCUGCUGUGUAAAGGACUGAGAAGUGCCAUGAAAUGAGUUUAUAUAUUUGCUAGAAAUAUUGCCUGAAGGAGAAUGAAUAAAUAGUUUGGGUGAACUUUAUUUAGUUCAUACAAAACAAUCAAUAAACCAUUGAGAAUUGUUGAUUUA